GUACUGGCCUUACUGAUUCCUCCUUCUUGAGAACUGUGAUGCCAUUUAUUUGGUGUUGCAGGGAAACAGGACUGUUACUUUGAAAAAAUUAGAGUGUUUAAAGCAGGCUAACGCUUGAAUACAUUAGCAUGGAAUAAUGAAAUAGGACGUUUGAUCCUAUUUUGUUGGUUUCUAGGAUUGACGUAAUGAUUAAUAGGGAUAGUUGGGGGCAUUAGUAUUCAAUUGUCAGAGGUGAAAUUCUUGGAUUUAUUGAAGACUAACUACUGCGAAAGCAUUUGCCAAGGAUGUUUUCAUUAAUCAAGAACGAAAGUUAGGGGAUCGAAGACGAUCAGAUACCGUCGUAGUCUUAACCAUAAACUAUGCCGACUAGGGAUCGGAUGAUGUUAAUUUUUUAAUGACUC
Molecule: ribosomal RNA, 401 nt
Filed under: uncultured Glomeromycotina
Lineage: Eukaryota; Fungi; Glomeromycota
Description: SSU rRNA
Rfam family: Eukaryotic small subunit ribosomal RNA
Source: RNAcentral